GGUUAAGCGACUAAGCGUACACGGUGGAUGCCCUGGCAGUCAGAGGCGAUGAAGGACGUGCUAAUCUGCGAAAAGCGUCGGUAAGGUGAUAUGAACCGUUAUAACCGGCGAUGUCCGAAUGGGGAAACCCAGUGCAAUUCGUUGCACUAUCGUUAACUGAAUACAUAGGUUAACGAGGCGAACCGGGGGAACUGAAACAUCUAAGUACCCCGAGGAAAAGAAAUCAACCGAGAUUCCCCCAGUAGCGGCGAGCGAACGGGGAGCAGCCCAGAGUCUGAAUCAGCUUGUGUGUUAGUGGAACGGUCUGGAAAGUCCGACGGUACAGGGUGAUAGUCCCGUACACCAAAAUGCACAGGCUGUGAACUCGAAGAGUAGGGCGGGACACGUGGUAUCCUGUCUGAAUAUGGGGGGACCAUCCUCCAAGGCUAAAUACUCCUGACUGACCGAUAGUGAACCAGUACCGUGAGGGAAAGGCGAAAAGAACCCCGGCGAGGGGAGUGAAAAAGAACCUGAAACCGUGUACGUACAAGCAGUGGGAGCACCUUCGGGUGUGACUGCGUACCUUUUGUAUAAUGGGUCAGCGACUUAUAUUCUGUAGCAAGGUUAACCGUAUAGGGGAGCCGCAGGGAAACCGAGUCUUAACUGGGCGUUAAGUUGCAGGGUAUAGACCCGAAACCCGGUGAUCUAGCCAUGGGCAGGUUGAAGGUUGGGUAACACUAACUGGAGGACCGAACCGACUAAUGUUGAAAAAUUAGCGGAUGACUUGUGGCUGGGGGUGAAAGGCCAAUCAAACCGGGAGAUAGCUGGUUCUCCCCGAAAGCUAUUUAGGUAGCGCCUCGUGAACUCAUCUUCGGGGGUAGAGCACUGUUUCGGCUAGGGGGUCAUCCCGACUUACCAACCCGAUGCAAACUACGAAUACCGAAGAAUGUUAUCACGGGAGACACACGGCGGGUGCUAACGUCCGUCGUGAAGAGGGAAACAACCCAGACCGCCAGCUAAGGUCCCAAAGUCAUGGUUAAGUGGGAAACGAUGUGGGAAGGCACAGACAGCCAGGAUGUUGGCUUAGAAGCAGCCAUCAUUUAAAGAAAGCGUAAUAGCUCACUGGUCGAGUCGGCCUGCGCGGAAGAUGUAACGGGGCUAAACCAUGCACCGAAGCUGCGGCAGCGACACUAUGUGUUGUUGGGUAGGGGAGCGUUCUGUAAGCCUGCGAAGGUGACCUGUGAGGGUUGCUGGAGGUAUCAGAAGUGCGAAUGCUGACAUAAGUAACGAUAAAGCGGGUGAAAAGCCCGCUCGCCGGAAGACCAAGGGUUCCUGUCCAACGUUAAUCGGGGCAGGGUGAGUCGACCCCUAAGGCGAGGCCGAAAGGCGUAGUCGAUGGGAAACAGGUUAAUAUUCCUGUACUUGGUGUUACUGCGAAGGGGGGACGGAGAAGGCUAUGUUAGCCGGGCGACGGUUGUCCCGGUUUAAGCAUGUAGGCUGGUUAUCCAGGCAAAUCCGGAUAAUCAAGGCUGAGGUGUGAUGACGAGGCACUACGGUGCUGAAGUAACAAAUGCCCUGCUUCCAGGAAAAGCCUCUAAGCAUCAGGUAACAUCAAAUCGUACCCCAAACCGACACAGGUGGUCAGGUAGAGAAUACCAAGGCGCUUGAGAGAACUCGGGUGAAGGAACUAGGCAAAAUGGUGCCGUAACUUCGGGAGAAGGCACGCUGGUGUGUAGGUGAAGCCCCUGCGGGUGGAGCUGAGACCAGUCGAAGAUACCAGCUGGCUGCAACUGUUUAUUAAAAACACAGCACUGUGCAAACACGAAAGUGGACGUAUACGGUGUGACGCCUGCCCGGUGCCGGAAGGUUAAUUGAUGGGGUUAUCCGUAAGGAGAAGCUCUUGAUCGAAGCCCCGGUAAACGGCGGCCGUAACUAUAACGGUCCUAAGGUAGCGAAAUUCCUUGUCGGGUAAGUUCCGACCUGCACGAAUGGCGUAAUGAUGGCCAGGCUGUCUCCACCCGAGACUCAGUGAAAUUGAACUCGCUGUGAAGAUGCAGUGUACCCGCGGCAAGACGGAAAGACCCCGUGAACCUUUACUAUAGCUUGACACUGAACAUUGAGCCUUGAUGUGUAGGAUAGGUGGGAGGCUUUGAAGCGUGGACGCCAGUCUGCGUGGAGCCAACCUUGAAAUACCACCCUUUAAUGUUUGAUGUUCUAACGUUGGCCCCUGACCGGGGUUGCGGACAGUGUCUGGUGGGUAGUUUGACUGGGGCGGUCUCCUCCCAAAGCGUAACGGAGGAGCACGAAGGUUAGCUAAUCCUGGUCGGACAUCAGGAGGUUAGUGCAAUGGCAUAAGCUAGCUUGACUGCGAGCGUGACGGCGCGAGCAGGUGCGAAAGCAGGUCAUAGUGAUCCGGUGGUUCUGAAUGGAAGGGCCAUCGCUCAACGGAUAAAAGGUACUCCGGGGAUAACAGGCUGAUACCGCCCAAGAGUUCAUAUCGACGGCGGUGUUUGGCACCUCGAUGUCGGCUCAUCACAUCCUGGGGCUGAAGUAGGUCCCAAGGGUAUGGCUGUUCGCCAUUUAAAGUGGUACGCGAGCUGGGUUUAGAACGUCGUGAGACAGUUCGGUCCCUAUCUGCCGUGGGCGCUGGAGAAUUGAGGGGGGCUGCUCCUAGUACGAGAGGACCGGAGUGGACGCAUCACUGGUGUUCGGGUUGUCAUGCCAAUGGCACUGCCCGGUAGCUAAAUGCGGAAGAGAUAAGUGCUGAAAGCAUCUAAGCACGAAACUUGCCCCGAGAUGAGUUCUCCCUGAGACUUUAAGUCUCCUGAAGGAACGUUAAAGACGAUGACGUUGAUAGGCCGGGUGUGUAAGCGCAGCGAUGCGUUGAGCUAACCGGUACUAAUGAACCGUGAGGCUUAACCUU
Molecule: ribosomal RNA, 2902 nt
Filed under: Klebsiella pneumoniae
Lineage: Bacteria; Pseudomonadati; Pseudomonadota; Gammaproteobacteria; Enterobacterales; Enterobacteriaceae
Also listed under: 1 other name
Description: 23S ribosomal RNA
Rfam family: Bacterial large subunit ribosomal RNA
Source: RNAcentral